CUGUUCUCCACGCGGCACCAGACGCACGAUUCGUCUCUGCUUCCCUCGUCGGCCAAGCUCUCUCUCCCGCUGCCUUCUCUGUGCCGCCUCCUCGCCAUGCUGUGCGCUGCCAGCCGCGCCGCUCGGACUUCAGCAUCGGCCUUUUGUGUGCUCCGCUGCGCCAGAUCGCCGUGUUACCGUGGAGCUACAUGCCUUGCCCUUCGCUGUCGUUGUAGCGGAGUCGUCAUCGCCCAAGUGCUGAGCGCCCUGAACUCGCUACCGUUCUGCAGCCCCGCCGUCGACUCCCUGCUCGUCUCGCUACUUUGUCAUCAUUCACUAUCCCCGUCCUCGACGUCUACCUCGCCGCUCCUCGUGUCUAGCAAGCCGUCACGUUUGGCGGGUUUCCUCUAUGCGGCCUCACGCGUUCCUCUCGCUUCAUUCACAUGUCGUGUGGUAGAGCAGGUAUGGUUAUUUGAUUCGAUGUAUGUGUGGAUGCGGAAUAAAUUUCAAGAGAAAUAG
This 498-nucleotide unclassified non-coding RNA is filed under the name Zea mays. RNAcentral describes it as "misc RNA Zm00001eb203160". Lineage: Eukaryota; Viridiplantae; Streptophyta; Magnoliopsida; Poales; Poaceae. The record is from RNAcentral.